RNAcentral lists this ribosomal RNA (572 nucleotides) under uncultured bacterium. RNAcentral describes it as "partial 16S ribosomal RNA". It matches the Rfam family "Bacterial small subunit ribosomal RNA", at positions 355 to 913 of the family's 1533-position model. The record is from RNAcentral.
UGGGGAAUUUUGGACAAUGGGCGAAAGCCUGAUCCAGCAAUGCCGCGUGUGUGAAGAAGGCCUUCGGGUUGUAAAGCACUUUUGUCCGGAAAGAAAUCCUUGGCUCUAAUACAGUCGGGGGAUGACGGUACCGGAAGAAUAAGCACCGGCUAACUACGUGCCAGCAGCCGCGGUAAUACGUAGGGUGCAAGCGUUAAUCGGAAUUACUGGGCGUAAAGCGUGCGCAGGCGGUUUGCUAAGACCGAUGUGAAAAUCCCCGGGCUCAACCUGGGAACUGCAUUGGUGACUGGCAGGCUAGAGUAUGGCAGAGGGGGGUAGAAUUCCACGUGUAGCAGUGAAAUGCGUAGAGAUGUGGAGGAAUACCGAUGGCGAAGGCAGCCCCCUGGGCCAAUACUGACGCUCAUGCACGAAAAGCGUGGGGAGCAAAACAGGAUUAGAUACCCUGGUAGUCCACGCCCUAAAACGAUGUCAACUAGCUGUUGGGGUUUAAUUAACCUUAGUAGCGCAGCUAACGCGUGAAGUUGACCGCCUGGGGAGUACGGUCGCAAGAUUAAAAACUUAAAAGGAAUUGA